GACGUAGGGGGCGAGCGUUGUCCGGAAUGACUGGGCGUAAAGGGCGCGUAGGCGGCACGAGACGUCCGGGGUUAAAGGGUUGGGCUCAACCUGACCACGGCCCUGGAAACGGGCGAGCUAGAGGGUCGGAGAGGCAAGCGGAAUUCCCGGUGUAGCGGUGAAAUGCGUAGAGAUCGGGAGGAACACCAGUGGCGAAGGCGGCUUGCUGGACGAUACCUGACGCUGAGGCGCGAAAGCCAGGGGAGCAAACGGG
Molecule: ribosomal RNA, 253 nt
Filed under: uncultured organism
Description: partial 16S ribosomal RNA
Rfam family: Bacterial small subunit ribosomal RNA
Source: RNAcentral